ACACACUCACCAAGGUGUUUGCUGUUUUGCCCUGGGACAAUGUCACUGGCUCUGCUGACAGUGCACAUUUUGUCUGACACUGUGCAGAGCCUUUGCUGAGCUGGUUACUCUCCAUCACACAACAGGGGAACUGCUCAUUUCUACCUGAGCUACACACCUUGUGCUUGUCCUUAAACUCAACUUUAACCUUAAUCCUCUUCCCUAGUUCUCUGGGCUGGAAUUCCAGCAGUGUCAUUCCACUGGCUGAAACACACCACCUACUUCAUCACCCAAACAAUUACUGAGAAUACCAACUACUGGGCCUCCUCAUUCCUAUCAUGGCGCAAUUGCUGUUAGAAUUGUGGAAUUGGAUGGUAGAAUAUGUUUCAUCCUGCUUGUGUUUAGGUAAAAUCCCUGUAUGUUCCUUCACACACCUCCUGCAGCUGGAGGUCGUUCAGGCAGAAACUGUUCCCAGUUUUUUCUGAAUUGCCUUCAGGACAGAGGUGACUGCAAACUGGUGGAAGCAAUAGGACUAACAGGCUUGUUCAGGUUUGUGAAGACUUCAGGAGAUCCAGUCCUGGUGAAUGCAAGGAAAAGCAUGGGAAGCCUGCAGAUUGCAUACAGUGCAGUAAUGUGCACCAAUGCAUCGGGGCCUGGUGCUCAACACCUGAUUUCAGCAUUUGAAGACUAAUUGUUGAAGGGAAAAUCUGAAUAGUCUGAAGAAAUAAAUGAAAAUGGAGAUCUGCACUUAAAGAAGCCUUGAUUUGCAAAUCUGGCAAAAAAUAUGUUUGCAGAAGGAAUCCAGAUGUGUUGUUUUAUAUGUUUGGUACUCUAUUAAUAAAGGGUCCCCUAUAAAUACCAAAACCAUGACCCAUACCCAGCCAUUAGAGAGAAAAGGAAAAUAUUCUUGAGUGUAGCAAAGGGGCAUCAACUGCAUGCCCAGAUGGUUUUUUCCAUCUCUUACUCUUCAGUAUUGAUUUAUUUAACUUUGCAGAAGGUUAUGCCAGAAAGGAGGUGUGAAAAAACUACAAUAAAUAAUUAUAUCAUUUUCUUCAAUGUGAAAACCACCUAAAUUUCAAUAAUUUAUAGUACUGUUUUCAUUGUCAUACACCAGACUCCUGUCUGGAUGAUAUUUUGCUCCAACAAUGGUGUAAUUGAUGUGAUGUGAUGGAAAAUAUUGCAUAGGAGAGUACGUCAUCUACUGCCUCAGCUGAAGUUUUCAACAAGUUAAUAAUUCUUCAGUGUAGGACCAAAGUAUGAAAAAUUCUAUUUUAUCAAGAAAAGUGAGCAUCUUCCUUCAUCAUCCCAGAAAUAUUACACUGGA
RNAcentral lists this long non-coding RNA (1303 nucleotides) under Ficedula albicollis (Collared flycatcher). Its description in RNAcentral is "lncRNA (ENSFALG00000022891.1)". Lineage: Eukaryota; Metazoa; Chordata; Aves; Passeriformes; Muscicapidae. The record is from RNAcentral.